RNAcentral lists this small RNA (863 nucleotides) under Pongo abelii (Sumatran orangutan). RNAcentral's name for it is "retained intron". The record is from RNAcentral. Lineage: Eukaryota; Metazoa; Chordata; Mammalia; Primates; Hominidae.
UGUCAGAGAAAGGGGUUUCAGGGAGCCUAGAUAUCUCAGAAGGGGAAUGGAGAUAUCUAGAGGAUAUAGGGAACCACGGGGAAGACCUAACAUUGUUUUGCUUUCUUAUAAUUCUUAAAAUUCUCAGAAGCCACCGCUGAACUGACCGUCUCAUUCACAAACAAAGUCUUCACAACUGAGACUUCUAGGAGUAUCACCGCCAGUCCAAAGGAGUCAGACUCUCCAGCUGGUCCUGUCCACCAGUACUACACCAAGGGCAACCUGGUCCGGAUAUGCCUUGGGGCUGUGAUCCUAAUACUCCUGGCGGGGUUUCUGGCAGAGGACUGGCACAGCCGGAGGAAGCGCCUGCGGCACAGGGUCAGGGCUGUGCAGAGGCCGCUUCCGCCCCUCCCGCAGACCCAGAAAUCACACGGGGGUCAGGAUGGAGGCCGACCGGAUGUUCACAGCCGCGGGUUAUGUUCAUGACUACUGAACCCCAGGCAUGGUCGUAUCCAAGGGACGGAUCAUGGCAUGGGAGGUGACUCAAAGACUGUGGCGUGUGUGGAGCGUGGAAGCAGGAGGGCAGAGGCUACAGCUGUGGAAAGGAGGCCAUGCUGCCUCCUCCUGGUGUUCCCUCAAGGAGCCGUUCAGCCAGUGUCUGUCUGUCUGUCUGGCUCUCUGUCUGAGCGCACCCUCCAUUUGGGAUGGAAGGAAUCUGUGGAGACCCCAUCCUCCUCCUUGCACACUGUGGAUGACAUGGUACCCUGGCUGGACCACAUACUGGCCUCUUUCUUCAACCCUCUCUAAUAUGGGCUCCAGACGGAUCUCUAACGUUCCCAGCUCUCAGGGUUGACUCCGUUCCACCCUCUGUGAAAAACCCUCCC